AUUUAUUUUUAAUUUUUAUUUAAUAAAUAUUUAUUUCGAUUAAUUUUCUUUUUCAAAAAAUAAAAUAUAACCGAAAAAUCUGAAACGUCACAAAGCAGGGCUGCAUUUUUCGACUUUAGCAAUCGAUACGACUAUUCGACGAUGACUUAUCUCCUCGAAAAUAUUCAGUAUCCACCUCGACUAGACUACCAGACCACUCAGAGAUUAUUCGCGCGACACCUCUCUCAGGAUGAUUCACGGUGACUCAGCCGCGAAGCCACCCCACUCUAGUUGAAAUACGUUCCCGAAUCUUUCGAAAUUAUCAGUCAAUAGUCUGCCGAGCUUUAUUCAAACGGUUUUUCCCGGAUCCCAGUUUUUGUUGACGGGCUCUCAGUUUUUCGGUUCCCUCGGAAAUUUCUACAACUUUUAGUUAUGUACAAAGUAGUGUUAUUAUUCGUCUUGUGCACGACGAUUUUGGGUCUCCACGUGGAUCGCACCCUCGAGCCAGGGGCUCACGGCCGUGACGUCGUGGAGACGGUUGUGUACCGGAUACACCGAAGUCGUGUUUUCCCCGACGACAGAGAUUUUUUACGCCGCGUGGCCUACACCGAGAGCAAGUUCGGCGACGAUCCGCAAACAUACCGCAGCGGAUACCACGGAGGUGUCUGGCAAUUCGAUCGACUCAAGAAGACGAAAUACGACGACGCCAAUGACGCCAAUGACGCCACAAGCCCGUACCUCAGAAGUAUCCAUGCAUCGAUCAAGGAUAAGAUGAGCAUCGAUUGGAUGCAGGUGAAGGAGGAAGACUUGCUGAAGCCGCUCUACUCCGGCCUCGCCGCUCGCAUCUACAUUGAUCUGACGUGCCAAUCUCGUGGUCAGAUACCUGACGACAUGAAAGGCCAGGACAAAUUCUGGAAAGAUUGGUACCACACGCAGCAAGGCAAGUACGGAGAUUUUGAGGUGCGAGCAAGGGAACUGCUCGAAAGAGACAUGAGUGCAGCCGGUGGGAAGAUAGACUUGAUGUUGGUUGUGGACGGCAGCGGUAGUAUAAGCAGUGCCAAAUUCCAGACAGCCCUCGACUCAUUAGCACGCCUGGUCAACGUCUUCGAUCUUCAGGAGGCCAACGUCGGUAUGGUCACUUACGCGACUAAUAUUACCAGCGUCAUCCCUCUUCUGCACAAUUUGACUAUGGAAGCAUUGCAGGAUGCCAUUAAUAGCACGAGGUAUCCGGCAGAAUACACAAACACUUACGCGGGGAUGAUUGAAGCUGUCAACCAAUUCGAAACACUACCAAACGACCGGAAAGAAAAUGGCAUUCCACGACUAAUGGUUGUCCUCACUGAUGGAAAUCACAAUGAGGGACAGACACCGGGGGUUGCGGCUAAGCUGGCUGCCAAGUUAGGUAUCAUAACCUGCGCCUUCGGGAUAGGCCAUUCGAUCAAAGUCAGCGAGCUCCGCGAGAUCGCGAACCAGGACCCGGACUACAUCUACACGGUGCAGGAUUACGACACGCUGAGGGAGCAGAUCGCCCGUAUGGCGCGACGGGCGAAGACGGUGCCGCAGACGCCCAAAAUGGGCUCCGAGACGAGCGAGACGAUGAAACAGGUCGGCGAGAAGAGGUACUACCGAGUCGCCGUACCGGAGAACGGGACGACCAUCGUACUCAUCAACGAGAAGGGCGAGAUUCGCGGCUACUGGACUUACACCUCCGUCGAACAGCCGUCCAGCGCCUUCUACGACGGGGUCAUAACCGCCGGCGAGACGUUCAUCCCACCCCCACCGGCACGACAGGUGCGACAGCGACGGGACGUGAGCCAGAAUGCACCCGCGAAUGACGUCAUGAUCGCACUGGAGAGUUUCAAAGUCGAUAGUAAGGCCAACGUGAAGAUUGUCCAAGGAGACGCCAGAAAAUCCGCCGCCACUAAAGUUGACGUCGCGUGCUUUAUGCUUGUCGCAGCUUUUAGUUUCACGGUCCUAGCGAUUCACUGAUUAAACAGUAACGUGUUCUUACUAUACUUGACAAUCGAUUUUGGAUUAUUCAAAUUUAAACGAUUAAGUAUUGCCUCAAGUCCGUGUAUGUAGAAUUGGACUGAAAUUUGCAAUUUGGAACUAAAAUAUCUGGCUCCUUUCAGGAACGACGGCGUCAUAUCGACGGCGUCGGUCGGCAAUCACAUAACUCGUUUGCGAUGUCUGAAAAUCUCCGUCUCUAGGUUAUUUUUUGAAGGAGAACAAAUUGACAUCAUCCCUUGAGGUUUUUGCAGAAUUUUCUUCGCACAGAGAAGAAAAAUCACGGCAGUUUUAAAGAAUUGCCGUUGAGUAGUUUUCCGUUUAAAAAAUAAAGUAUGAUAGGAAGUCUGCGACGUCCCAAACCGAGUUAUGUGAUUGCCGACUUACACCGUCGAUAUGCUAUUUGUUCCCCUAUUCAUAUAAGUGUUUUUUUCAGAUGAGAAUGUUUUUUUCAGAAAUUGCAGUUCCGAAUUGCAAAAUGCAGUCUGAUUCAGAAACAAGGAGAGACCCUCCAUUAACUUCCUGGCGACAGGUGGAAAAUUUUACUUUGGGGCAUUCAAGAUUUCUAAGGCAAUAAUGAUCUACAUUCUUGUUGGCUGAUGAGUUUCAGAUUGAAGCAAUAAAUAACCCACUUUUAUCAGAAAAUCGAUAUUGUGCCGUUCCUCAGAUAAGCUAAAAAGUCGGUUCCAUCGUGCGUAAUUCUGUCGCAUCGUCAUUAAAUAAAUAAAUCCAACAAAUCGAUUUUGCGUGAUUCCAAUAUAAAACAAUGAAGUAAUAUAUUUCAAAUCCCUGUGUAUAGAACUCACAGACGAGGAGAGCUUUCCACUGACCUCUCGGCGACAGAUGGAAAAUUCUUUCAAGCAUUCAACAUUUUCAAAGCAAUGAUCAUUCAAUUUUUUCAGCUGAUAGGUUUCAACUUGAUAAAAAAUGCGCCGAAAAAUUUAGAAAACAUCAGCUUAUUUGCUGAAAGAAUGGCCCGACACGUAGCUUAACGGCCACUAAUGAGGUAGGUGAACGAACAGUUCAAUUGUUUAAGUUCCCAGAGACCGAAAGCUUCUAUCAUUUUUGGGAUACCAGUGUAGAGCUUCUCUUUGACUCUAGGUAGGGUUUCUUGUGUUACUGCAUCACGAUUUUGUCAUAAAUAUAUCAUAAAUCGUGAAUGAAUCAUCGAACAAGAGUUUCAAUCGCAAGAGAUACUUCCAAUCUCCUCAUCGCCUUGGUGUGAAUAUGACAAGGUAGGUAUGUGUGAUGGUGUGUAUUUUUACGUCGGAAACGGUAUACAUCGAAUGACGUCAGUGGCGUGGCGUGCUUUGCGAUGUAUCGAUUGUUAUGCCAUUUAAACCUAUGGAAAAGGAUCGAUAAACAGGGUGUUCGCUGCGAACACUUUAAUAAUCGAUUCUUGACCAUAGGUUUAAACGGCAUAACAAUCGAUACAUCGCAAUUCACGCCACGCCACUGAAUUGCGUGGCCACUAAAUCAUUCUAUUGCUGACAUGCAUGACUGAGUUCAUGCUUUAGUGUGUAAUACACGAGUUUGUAAAAAUAUCUCUCCAAAUAGUUAAUGUAGUGUUAGUAUUUUGUAAGCAUUUAUACUUUUUUUUAGAGAAUACUUGAUUCGUUAUAGAAUUGUGGCGUCGUAUUUGUUGAUCACUGAACAUAAUAAUGUAAUAAUAUGGUGUAUCAUGCGUUCAAAACAUGACUAAGUUAUAAAUAAUCAUGCUUUUGAAUCAGAAUUCAUACCUCGAUAAAAAUAUAUAGCUGAUACUAGCGAUAUAUGUUUUUUGCACAUAGAAUCAGCUAAUACUUUCGUAUGUUAUGCAGGCUUAAUAUAGUUCCUACCGAACUAGACCUAACUUGAGAAAACGCAUGAUUUUUUUUGAUUUUUUUAUUUUUUGAUUUUGAUUUUUUUUUUAGCAAGCUGUAGCUAAAUUACUUUACUGUGAAACACUGAUAAGAACCAGAACUAUAUGAUAAUGUUUCCUACGUCAAAUAACUACUUGUUUUGAAUAACGACAUGUACCUUUUAAAACACGCGGUGCUUUUAUACAGUAUUAUUUAGAUAAGUUUUUUAAGGCUUCUUGCAGAUUGUAGAGUGCCUAUCUUUGAAGUUUGCACAUUUGUGAAUACUUACUAUUUCUAAAAAUUUUUUGCAAUUAGAAACAAUUAUUUAUUACCUAAAGGAGCCUUAUUUUUUUAAAACUUUAAGACCCACACACGCACGUACGUACGUUCGACGAUUGCUCUCUACACUUUGCUUGCGGAUUAAAAUCAGUUUAGAGUUUAAGAUGAUUUCCAAAAGGGAUAAGUUUUGCCAUUCAAAUAAAAAACGUCGUGUACCCAAAUCAAAUUAUGCAUUUAAAUUUAGACAAAAUGCUCUAUCACUAGACAAUCUGAUUUUCUUCAUGCCUCAUUUUGCUAGUAUGAAUUUUCAAAAAUAUGACAUUGUUAUUUUGAAAACACACAUUGUUAUUGUUCGCUAGAUUUCUUGCAAACAAGAAGAAUUUAAUGCGAAUAUUGCAAUGUCAACUUGAUAGUAUGCGAAACUAAAAAGAGGAAAUUGCAAUAUAUAAUGGUUUUUUUCUGGGAAGUUCAUCCUCUUCAUAUGCUUGCACAUAGUUUUUAGGGUAUCUACUACAUAUUAUGCUAGUGUUUCCUUGUAGUCGUAUGUUGCCUAACCUCUCAAUUCAAGGCGCGACAAGUAUCUGCAAUUAUCACAGUGGCACACUGAGAUCUAUAGACCACUACUGGGUGAAAAUCAUCGCAAUUUUGAGGCAACACGAUUUCGGCCAACGAAAACUUUAUUGCAAUUUUCUUUACAAAAAUGUUUAUUUGUGUAGAAGAGCAUAUUCCAAGAGAAAAAAUCAAACUUUUUCGGGCCGAAUUCUGUUGGUUAUAUGAAAUUGUAAAUAAAAAUAAUUAGGACGAAUCUGGACAGUUCCUCACGUCUAAUACAUUCUAUCUCUGAUUGACUUAAUCAGAAAUGUGAAAUCAGGGAGCCAAAUCUCAAUAGUGUAGCGCAAUCCCAUUUUUCCUGACAAAUUUUGACCCCCGGAGUAAGGUACCUACGAGGGGCUUGGAGGAGAAGACGCAGAAGUGCAGUUUUUGCUAUUUCGAGAAAUACAUGUUUGAAUUUUUGAAAUUACAUGGAGCCUUAUGGCCGAAAGAAAGUUUAAACUGACCUUUUGAUGCUUAAAAAUUGGAAUUUGGAAGGAAAUG
Molecule: long non-coding RNA, 5201 nt
Filed under: Bemisia tabaci
Lineage: Eukaryota; Metazoa; Arthropoda; Insecta; Hemiptera; Aleyrodidae
Description: lncRNA ENSASIAIIG001694
Source: RNAcentral